RNAcentral lists this ribosomal RNA (253 nucleotides) under uncultured bacterium. RNAcentral's name for it is "partial 16S ribosomal RNA". It matches the Rfam family "Bacterial small subunit ribosomal RNA", at positions 524 to 776 of the family's 1533-position model. The record is from RNAcentral.
UACAGAGGGGGCAAGCGUUGUUCGGAAUUACUGGGCGUAAAGGGCGCGUAGGCGGCCUUCUAAGUCAGACGUGAAAUCCCCCGGCUUAACCGGGGAACUGCGUCUGAUACUGGAUGGCUUGAGUUCGGGAGAGGGAUGCGGAAUUCCAGGUGUAGCGGUGAAAUGCGUAGAUAUCUGGAGGAACACCGGUGGCGAAGGCGGCAUCCUGGACCGAUACUGACACUGAGGAGCGAAAGCCAGGGGAGCAAACGGG